UAUCGGAUUGAUACUAAGCCAUGCGAGUCAUUGCAGUAAUGCAAGGCAGACGGCUCAGUAACGCGUAGUCAACCUACCCUAUGGACGGGAAUAACCUCGGGAAACUGAGUAUAAUGCCCGAUAGAACACUAUUCCUGGAAUGGUUUGUGUUCCAAAUGAUUUAUCGCCGUAGGAUGGGACUGCGGCCUAUCAGUUUGUUGGUGAGGUAAUGGCCCACCAAGACUAUUACAGGUACGGGCUCUGAGAGGAGUAGCCCGGAGAUGGGUACUGAGACACGGACCCAGGCCCUAUGGGGCGCAGCAGGCGAGAAAACUUUGCAAUGUGCGAAAGCACGACAAGGUUAAUCCGAGUGGUUUGUGCUAAACGAACCUUUUGACAGUCCUAGAAACACUGUUGAAUAAGGGGUGGGCAAGUUCUGGUGUCAGCCGCCGCGGUAAAACCAGCACCUCAAGUGGUCAGGAUGAUUAUUGGGCCUAAAGCAUCCGUAGCCGGCUCUGUAAGUUUUCGGUUAAAUCUGUACGCUCAACGUACAGGCUGCCGGGAAUACUGCAGAGCUAGGGAGUGGGAGAGGUAGACGGUACUCGGUAGGAAGGGGUAAAAUCCUUUGAUCUAUUGAUGACCACCUGUGGCGAAGGCGGUCUACCAGAACACGUCCGACGGUGAGGGAUGAAAGCUGGGGGAGCAAACCGGAUUAGAUACCCGGGUAGUCCCAGCUGUAAACUAUGCAAACUCAGUGAUGCGUUAGCUUGUGGCCAAUGCAGUGCUGCAGGGAAGCCGUUAAGUUUGCCGCCUGGGAAGUACGUACGCAAGUAUGAAACUUAAAGGAAUUGGCGGGGGAGCACCACAAGGGGUGAAGCCUGCGGUUCAAUUGGAGUC
Molecule: ribosomal RNA, 876 nt
Filed under: uncultured archaeon
Lineage: Archaea
Description: bacterial SSU rRNA
Rfam family: Archaeal small subunit ribosomal RNA
Source: RNAcentral